UUACGGGAGGCAGCAGUGGGGAAUCUUCCACAAUGGGCGAAAGCCUGAUGGAGCGACGCCGCGUGAGUGAUGAAGGUCUUCGGAUCGUAAAGCUCUGUUACCAGGGACGAAUAAAUGACGGUACCUGGGGAGGAAGCCACGGCUAACUACGUGCCAGCAGCCGCGGUAAUACGUAGGUGGCGAGCGUUGUCCGGAAUUAUUGGGCGUAAAGGGCGCGUAGGCGGUCAUUUAAGUCAGGUGUGAAAUACCCCGGCUCAACUGGGGGGAGCCACCUGAUACUGGGUGACUAGAGUGCAGGAGAGGGAAGUGGAAUUCCAUGUGUAGCGGUGAAAUGCGUAGAUAUAUGGAGGAACACCAGUGGCGAAGGCGGCUUCCUGGACUGUAACUGACGCUGAGGCGCGAAAGCUGGGGGAGCGAACGGGAUUAGAUACCCUGGUAGU
RNAcentral lists this ribosomal RNA (440 nucleotides) under uncultured bacterium. RNAcentral describes it as "bacterial SSU rRNA". It matches the Rfam family "Bacterial small subunit ribosomal RNA", at positions 339 to 794 of the family's 1533-position model. The record is from RNAcentral.